Long non-coding RNA from Teleopsis dalmanni, 593 nucleotides. RefSeq lists it as uncharacterized. Lineage: Eukaryota; Metazoa; Arthropoda; Insecta; Diptera; Diopsidae. The record is from RefSeq and is a predicted model, not a curated record. The transcript has 3 exons.
GGACAAAUAAUUAUAAUACAACAGUAACAGAAGAUUUAUAAAGCGAAGAUAGUUUUAUUACUAAUCGGCGAAGGUGAUAAUAAUAGGUUACUGGAAAUCAAGUGGCGUUUCUGGUUUGUUGACUGUUUAUCUUUGACUAGAAAAGUUGCUAAUAAGUUGUAAAAAGGAAAAGACUGCUGGGGCAAGCCAAAAACAAAAUCCUGCUAUCGCUGUGGAGAACCUUAAACAGGUUGGAGAAUUACUUUUGAAUUACUAAAGAUAAUAUAGACAUUGUUAUCCCGGUCUAUCUCCAGUAAAUACUGAGUGAACGGAUUAUAUUCAAUGGAAACUUUCAUGUCUCAACAAAUACCACAAAUUAUGAAAAAUCUUUCUUUGCUGCAAAUUUUUUUGAAUGUCUAGAAACGCAUGCCGAAACCCCAAAGUCCAAAAAAGUGAAACUAAAGUACAUUUGAAUCUUUCUUUUAUGAUUUUGAUAUAAACCUGCUUAAGUUUAGCUGUAUCUAUUAUAUAUUUAUAUUUCGCGAAUGAUUGUCUGUUUUUUAUAUACAGUAACGUAAACUAAAAUCUUUCAAAAUCCAAUGAACGAAGAAAAA